UACGUAGGGGGCUAGCGUUGUCCGGAAUCAUUGGGCGUAAAGCGCGUGUAGGCGGUCCGGUAAGUCCGCUGUGAAAGUCGGGGGCUCAACCCUCGAAUGCCGGUGGAUACUGUCGGGCUAGAGUGCGGAAGAGGCGAGUGGAAUUCCUGGUGUAGCGGUGAAAUGCGCAGAUAUCAGGAGGAACACCAACGGCGAAGGCAGCUCGCUGGGACGGUACUGACACUGAGGCGCGAAAGCGUGGGGAGCGAACAGG
This 253-nucleotide ribosomal RNA is filed under the name uncultured bacterium. RNAcentral describes it as "partial 16S ribosomal RNA". It matches the Rfam family "Bacterial small subunit ribosomal RNA", at positions 524 to 776 of the family's 1533-position model. The record is from RNAcentral.